GUGCGAGACCGAUAGCGAACAAGUACCGUGAGGGAAAGAUGAAAAGAACUUUGAAAAGAGAGUUAAAGAGUACCUGAAACUGCUGAAAGGGAAGCGAAUCGUAUCCAGUGUCUAUAAUCUGCGGCAUAUUUCAUUGGCGGCGGUGCGCGUGCUGUUGCGUCGGAAGCGGCUUUUGUUGCUCUGUGCUUUUGCUGUGCGUGGUGUUGCUGGUGCCCUGUGUUGCGGUGGGACGUCAGAGUCAGUUUGUAUGCUGCGGGAAAUGGCUGCCGAGGAGGUAGGUCGAGAUUUCGGUCUUGGCUGUUAUAUCUUGGUGGUUUGUUGUCGUGGUUGAGACUGAGGUGCCUACAAUGUGCUUUUGAGUGUACCGGGUUCUCAUUUGGUGGACUGUUUGGAUAGCUUGCUAUGCUUGUGGUUUUUUCAUCGGGUGAUUGAGUCUGGUGGUAACUUGUUGCUGUUCGGGACUUUGA
Molecule: ribosomal RNA, 467 nt
Filed under: uncultured Oomycota
Lineage: Eukaryota; Oomycota
Description: LSU rRNA
Rfam family: Bacterial large subunit ribosomal RNA (bases 1-83)
Source: RNAcentral